UUGGCACCUCGAUGUCGGCUCAUCUCAUCCUGGGCUGUAGCCGGUCCCAAGGGUAUGGCUGUUCGCCAUUUAAAGACCUCGAUGUCGGCUCAUCUCAUCCUGGGCUGUAGCCGGUCCCAAGGGUAUGGCUGUUCGCCAUUUAAAGAGGUACGUGAGCUGGGUUUAAAACGUCGUGAGACAGUUUGGUCCCUAUCUGCCGUGGGCGUUGGAUAUUUGAAGGGGGCUGCUCCUAGUACGAGAGGACCGGAGUGGACGAACCUCUGGUGUACCGGUUGUCCCUAUCUGCCGUGGGCGUUGGAUAUUUGAAGGGGGCUGCUCCUAGUACGAGAGGACCGGAGUGGACGAACCUCUGGUGUACCGGUUGUCACGCCAGUGGCAUCGCCGGGUAGCUAUGUUCGGAAGAGAUAACCGCUGAAAGCAUCUAAGCGGGAACUCGCCUUAAGAUGAGAUAUCCCUGGAGGCUUGACCUCCUUGAAGGGUCGUUCGAGACCAGGACGUUGAUAGGUCAGGUGUGUAAGCGCAGUAAUGCGUUCAGCUAACUGAUACUAAUUGCCCGUAAGGCUUGAUCCUAUACCAGUCUGCG
RNAcentral lists this ribosomal RNA (583 nucleotides) under Lachnospiraceae bacterium OF09-33XD. Its description in RNAcentral is "bacterial LSU rRNA". It matches the Rfam family "Bacterial large subunit ribosomal RNA", at positions 2518 to 2925 of the family's 2925-position model. Lineage: Bacteria; Bacillati; Bacillota; Clostridia; Lachnospirales; Lachnospiraceae. The record is from RNAcentral.